AGUGAACGCUGGCGGUAGGCCUAACACAUGCAAGUCGAACGGCAGCACAGGAGAGCUUGCUCUCUGGGUGGCGAGUGGCGGACGGGUGAGGAAUACAUCGGAAUCUACUUUUUCGUGGGGGAUAACGUAGGGAAACUUACGCUAAUACCGCAUACGACCUACGGGUGAAAGCAGGGGACCUUCGGGCCUUGCGCGAUUGAAUGAGCCGAUGUCGGAUUAGCUAGUUGGCGGGGUAAAGGCCCACCAAGGCGACGAUCCGUAGCUGGUCUGGGAGGAUGAGCAGCCACACUGGAACUGAGACACGGUCCAGACUCCUACGGGAGGCAGCAGUGGGGAAUAUUGGACAAUGGGCGCAAGCCUGAUCCUGCCAUACCGCGUGGGUGAAGAAGGCCUUCGGGUUGUAAAGCCCUUUUGUUGGGAAAGAAAUCCAGCUGGCUAAUACCCGGUUGGGAUGACGGUACCCAAAGAAUAAGCACCGGCUAACUUCGUGCCAGCAGCCGCCGUAA
Molecule: ribosomal RNA, 506 nt
Filed under: uncultured bacterium
Lineage: Bacteria
Description: partial 16S ribosomal RNA
Rfam family: Bacterial small subunit ribosomal RNA
Source: RNAcentral